GGAUAUGAGACGUACCGUCUGUGUGAGAUUUAUUUAUGCGAAUUCAAUCCAACCUUUAGAUGAUAAAAAGGAAUACCAAUAACUGUACGUCAAAACUCUCCUAAUUAGUCCUUGAAGGGUAGGUGAAAAUUUAUCAUGCAUGUUUAGCAGCCAUAGUUGACCAAUUGAAAAUAUUAGGUGACGUGAUAACGAGAGGCUGAAUAUGAUACCCACACCAUGAUUUUUGGCCACUCUAUUAAUAGUCAAUAAAUUUCAAAUGAGCUAGCGGUACAAUUUCAAGCCAAGGUAGGCGAAUCUGCUUUGGAUUGUAGAGAAAUAUUUUAUGUCGGGGACCGGAAGAAAAUGGAACGUAAGGAAAUGAUAAUAUUAAUAUAUAAAGAUAACAUAAUAUAAUGAAAGAAAUAAAUAUAAAAUUCCUUCCUUUGUCUUAAUGGUUAAAAGAAAACAAUGAUGAGAGAAUAAAUCACAGUAAAUCUCAUCAUAACCAAAAUAUCAGAUGUAGAAUAUUACAAUUUACAAUAAAUAAAUUGGCCUAAAAAUAAGGCUAAAUCUUAUCAGCACCUUUAAAUUUCAAAGUGUGGCUUGCUUCAUCUGUCUCAUCUUGUUUUGCUUAUAUAAAGGUGACAAAAAAAAGGAAAAAAAUUAUGGGGAGAAAAAAGGAAAGAGGAGGGUACGGUAGAGUUUUUACAGAAAGAGAGGAAAAUACAAAUGGCUGGUUUUCUUUGUUGAAAAGAAAGCACAGAGACUCAGACAAAGCAAAAUGAUGGUGGCCAACAAAAAAGAAAGGAAAAGACGCUAGCCAAAAGAAAAAUGAGUAAAAAAAUAUUUAAAAAAUGGAAAAAAGGACUAGCACCUCUUCGUAGCUUGCGGUAGCCUAUUUGUUUGUUUUCUCCUUUUGCAUGCGAAAGCUCUGUACCAAUUGUGACUUUUUGUGUAGUCUUUUAAAGGCUUAAGAGAUAUAUAGUGAUUGUUCUCAAUUUGGAUUGGUCACAAGUAUUCCAAAUAAAUAGGGGAAUGCAAGGUUUGGUUUUACUUGGAAAUAAAUUCUAGAAGAGUUGAAUAGCUAUUGAGUUGGCUUCAAUCAGCUGCUGGGU
This 1094-nucleotide long non-coding RNA is filed under the name Prunus persica (peach). RNAcentral's name for it is "long non-coding RNA (PPER_LNC003771)". The record is from RNAcentral. Lineage: Eukaryota; Viridiplantae; Streptophyta; Magnoliopsida; Rosales; Rosaceae.